UUCCCAGUCCAGCAAAUCAGGGAAUUCUUGUGAUCACCCUGCUACAUCCAUAUACAUGUACGAACUCACGCACAUGCAUGCAGAGUAACAAAUCUCAUCUAUCUAGAACUCAGCUAUUUGGUAACCACACCUACCCAGAACAUAGCACAGCGGUAGGAAAUAAACCUGAAAGACUUUUGAACAGCCAAAAUACUCCUCAUAAAAUUCACACGCUGAAGCUUAGGCAUUUAGCUCAUGGAAGAGCCCCUCAGAUUCUCACAAAGAACCUGCUUGCUAUUAUUUUAUGCAUUACGCUAGCUAGCUUGUUUAUCUGGUUUCCAAACCCAAAGCAGAUUAGAAGCAUCAAAUUAGCCAGGUGGAGAAGGGCUGCAAGAGCGAGGCACAUCGAGAGCUGGGAGAGGUGACUGCAGACAGCCUGACAGCCAAGGAGGAGACAGGAAAAUGAGAGGAAACAGACACAGACAUUCACAGAAUCCUUCCUCAUAACAAAGAAAUCCCGCUAAACUGAACAAACCUACACACUGAGUCCAACACUUCUCUGCCAAGAGGGGAAAGGAAUGUCUUAUUUUUGGUCCUCUAGGGAUUAUUUUAUAGAUGAGGAAAAUGAGGCAAACAGGGUGAAGUGACUUGCCCCGGGUC
Long non-coding RNA from Dromiciops gliroides (monito del monte), 639 nucleotides. RefSeq lists it as uncharacterized. The transcript is spliced from 3 exons. The record is from RefSeq and is a predicted model, not a curated record. Lineage: Eukaryota; Metazoa; Chordata; Mammalia; Microbiotheria; Microbiotheriidae.